CCUACGGGGGGCAGCAGUGGGGAAUAUUGGACAAUGGGGGGAACCCUGAUCCAGCCAUGCCGCGUGUGUGAAGAAGGCCUUUUGGUUGUAAAGCACUUUAAGCGAGGAGGAGGCUCUCUUGGUUAAUACCUGAGAAGAGUGGACGUUACUCGCAGAAUAAGCACCGGCUAACUCUGUGCCAGCAGCCGCGGUAAUACAGAGGGUGCGAGCGUUAAUCGGAUUUACUGGGCGUAAAGCGCGCGUAGGUGGUUAAUUAAGUCAAAUGUGAAAUCCCCGAGCUUAACUUGGGAAUUGCAUUCG
RNAcentral lists this ribosomal RNA (300 nucleotides) under uncultured Acinetobacter sp. RNAcentral describes it as "bacterial SSU rRNA". It matches the Rfam family "Bacterial small subunit ribosomal RNA", at positions 338 to 629 of the family's 1533-position model. The record is from RNAcentral. Lineage: Bacteria; Pseudomonadati; Pseudomonadota; Gammaproteobacteria; Moraxellales; Moraxellaceae.